GCACCCCUAGCUCAAUUGGAUAGAGCAUCGGUCUACGGAACCGAAGGUUACUGGUUCGAAUCCAGUGGGGUGUA
RNAcentral lists this transfer RNA (74 nucleotides) under Planctomycetaceae bacterium. Its description in RNAcentral is "tRNA-Arg". It matches the Rfam family "tRNA". From Rfam's summary of the family: Transfer RNA (tRNA) molecules are approximately 80 nucleotides in length. Lineage: Bacteria; Pseudomonadati; Planctomycetota; Planctomycetia; Planctomycetales; Planctomycetaceae. The record is from RNAcentral. RNAcentral also lists the same sequence under 11 other names.